GGGUUGUGAGGUUAAGCGACUAAGCGUACACGGUGGAUGCCCUGGCAGUCAGAGGCGAUGAAGGACGUGCUAAUCUGCGAUAAGCGUCGGUAAGGUGAUAUGAACCGUUAUAACCGGCGAUUUCCGAAUGGGGAAACCCAGUGUGUUUCGACACACUAUCAUUAACUGAAUCCAUAGGUUAAUGAGGCGAACCGGGGGAACUGAAACAUCUAAGUACCCCGAGGAAAAGAAAUCAACCGAGAUUCCCCCAGUAGCGGCGAGCGAACGGGGAGCAGCCCAGAGCCUGAAUCAGUGUGUGUGUUAGUGGAAGCGUCUGGAAAGGCGUGCGAUACAGGGUGACAGCCCCGUACACAAAAAUGCACAUGCUGUGAGCUCGAUGAGUAGGGCGGGACACGUGGUAUCCUGUCUGAAUAUGGGGGGGACCAUCCUCCAAGGCUAAAUACUCCUGACUGACCGAUAGUGAACCAGUACCGUGAGGGAAAGGCGAAAAGAACCCCGGCGAGGGGAGUGAAAAAGAACCUGAAACCGUGUACGUACAAGCAGUGGGAGCACGCUUAGGCGUGUGACUGCGUACCUUUUGUAUAAUGGGUCAGCGACUUAUAUUCUGUAGCAAGGUUAACCGAAUAGGGGAGCCGAAGGGAAACCGAGUCUUAACUGGGCGUUAAGUUGCAGGGUAUAGACCCGAAACCCGGUGAUCUAGCCAUGGGCAGGUUGAAGGUUGGGUAACACUAACUGGAGGACCGAACCGACUAAUGUUGAAAAAUUAGCGGAUGACUUGUGGCUGGGGGUGAAAGGCCAAUCAAACCGGGAGAUAGCUGGUUCUCCCCGAAAGCUAUUUAGGUAGCGCCUCGUGAAUUCAUCUCCGGGGGUAGAGCACUGUUUCGGCAAGGGGGUCAUCCCGACUUACCAACCCGAUGCAAACUGCGAAUACCGGAGAAUGUUAUCACGGGAGACACACGGCGGGUGCUAACGUCCGUCGUGAAGAGGGAAACAACCCAGACCGCCAGCUAAGGUCCCAAAGUCAUGGUUAAGUGGGAAACGAUGUGGGAAGGCCCAGACAGCCAGGAUGUUGGCUUAGAAGCAGCCAUCAUUUAAAGAAAGCGUAAUAGCUCACUGGUCGAGUCGGCCUGCGCGGAAGAUGUAACGGGGCUAAACCAUGCACCGAAGCUGCGGCAGCGACACUAUGUGUUGUUGGGUAGGGGAGCGUUCUGUAAGCCUGUGAAGGUGUGCUGUGAGGUAUGCUGGAGGUAUCAGAAGUGCGAAUGCUGACAUAAGUAACGAUAAAGCGGGUGAAAAGCCCGCUCGCCGGAAGACCAAGGGUUCCUGUCCAACGUUAAUCGGGGCAGGGUGAGUCGACCCCUAAGGCGAGGCCGAAAGGCGUAGUCGAUGGGAAACAGGUUAAUAUUCCUGUACUUGGUGUUACUGCGAAGGGGGGACGGAGAAGGCUAUGUUGGCCGGGCGACGGUUGUCCCGGUUUAAGCGUGUAGGCUGGUUUUCCAGGCAAAUCCGGAAAAUCAAGGCUGAGGCGUGAUGACGAGGCACUACGGUGCUGAAGCAACAAAUGCCCUGCUUCCAGGAAAAGCCUCUAAGCAUCAGGUAACAUCAAAUCGUACCCCAAACCGACACAGGUGGUCAGGUAGAGAAUACCAAGGCGCUUGAGAGAACUCGGGUGAAGGAACUAGGCAAAAUGGUGCCGUAACUUCGGGAGAAGGCACGCUGAUAUGUAGGUGAAGUCCCUCGCGGAUGGAGCUGAAAUCAGUCGAAGAUACCAGCUGGCUGCAACUGUUUAUUAAAAACACAGCACUGUGCAAACACGAAAGUGGACGUAUACGGUGUGACGCCUGCCCGGUGCCGGAAGGUUAAUUGAUGGGGUUAGCGCAAGCGAAGCUCUUGAUCGAAGCCCCGGUAAACGGCGGCCGUAACUAUAACGGUCCUAAGGUAGCGAAAUUCCUUGUCGGGUAAGUUCCGACCUGCACGAAUGGCGUAAUGAUGGCCAGGCUGUCUCCACCCGAGACUCAGUGAAAUUGAACUCGCUGUGAAGAUGCAGUGUACCCGCGGCAAGACGGAAAGACCCCGUGAACCUUUACUAUAGCUUGACACUGAACAUUGAGCCUUGAUGUGUAGGAUAGGUGGGAGGCUUAGAAGUGUGGACGCCAGUCUGCAUGGAGCCGACCUUGAAAUACCACCCUUUAAUGUUUGAUGUUCUAACGUUGACCCGUAAUCCGGGUUGCGGACAGUGUCUGGUGGGUAGUUUGACUGGGGCGGUCUCCUCCUAAAGAGUAACGGAGGAGCACGAAGGUUGGCUAAUCCUGGUCGGACAUCAGGAGGUUAGUGCAAUGGCAUAAGCCAGCUUGACUGCGAGCGUGACGGCGCGAGCAGGUGCGAAAGCAGGUCAUAGUGAUCCGGUGGUUCUGAAUGGAAGGGCCAUCGCUCAACGGAUAAAAGGUACUCCGGGGAUAACAGGCUGAUACCGCCCAAGAGUUCAUAUCGACGGCGGUGUUUGGCACCUCGAUGUCGGCUCAUCACAUCCUGGGGCUGAAGUAGGUCCCAAGGGUAUGGCUGUUCGCCAUUUAAAGUGGUACGCGAGCUGGGUUUAGAACGUCGUGAGACAGUUCGGUCCCUAUCUGCCGUGGGCGCUGGAGAACUGAGGGGGGCUGCUCCUAGUACGAGAGGACCGGAGUGGACGCAUCACUGGUGUUCGGGUUGUCAUGCCAAUGGCACUGCCCGGUAGCUAAAUGCGGAAGAGAUAAGUGCUGAAAGCAUCUAAGCACGAAACUUGCCCCGAGAUGAGUUCUCCCUGACUCCUUGAGAGUCCUGAAGGAACGUUGAAGACGACGACGUUGAUAGGCCGGGUGUGUAAGCGCAGCGAUGCGUUGAGCUAACCGGUACUAAUGAACCGUGAGGCUUAACCUUACAACGCCGAAGGUGUUU
Molecule: ribosomal RNA, 2931 nt
Filed under: Escherichia coli
Lineage: Bacteria; Pseudomonadati; Pseudomonadota; Gammaproteobacteria; Enterobacterales; Enterobacteriaceae
Description: bacterial LSU rRNA
Rfam family: Bacterial large subunit ribosomal RNA
Source: RNAcentral